This 61-nucleotide small nuclear RNA is filed under the name Rhinopithecus bieti (black snub-nosed monkey). RNAcentral describes it as "U7 small nuclear RNA (ENSRBIG00000001866.1)". It matches the Rfam family "U7 small nuclear RNA". Rfam says of the family: Animal histone pre-mRNAs are spliced by a different mechanism than nuclear pre-mRNAs and self-splicing introns. Lineage: Eukaryota; Metazoa; Chordata; Mammalia; Primates; Cercopithecidae. The record is from Rfam by way of RNAcentral.
UAGUGCUACAAUUCUUUUAGAAUUUGUCUACCAGGCUUUCCAGUUUUCGCCAAAAGCUCCC